RNAcentral lists this ribosomal RNA (255 nucleotides) under uncultured bacterium. RNAcentral describes it as "partial 16S ribosomal RNA". It matches the Rfam family "Bacterial small subunit ribosomal RNA", at positions 99 to 354 of the family's 1533-position model. The record is from RNAcentral.
CGGACGGGUGAGUAACGCGUGGAUAACCUACCUCAUACAGGGGGAUAACAGUUGGAAACGACUGUUAAUACCGCAUAAGCGCACAGGACUGCAUGGUUCUGUGUGAAAAACUCCGGUGGUAUGAGAUGGGUCCGCGUCUGAUUAGCUAGUUGGCAGGGUAACGGCCUACCAAGGCGACGAUCAGUAGCCGGCCUGAGAGGGUGUACGGCCACAUUGGGACUGAGACACGGCCCAGACUCCUACGGGAGGCAGCAG